ACCGUGUGAACUUACCACUGUUGCCUCGGUGGAUGGUGCUGUCUCUCGGGACGGUGCCACCGCCGGUGGACUACCUAAACUCUGUUAAUUUUUGUCAAUCUGAAUCAAACUAAGAAAUAAGUUAAAACUUUCAACAACGGAUCUCUUGGUUCUGGCAUCGAUGAAGAACGCAGCGAAAUGCGAUAAGUAAUGUGAAUUGCAGAAUUCAGUGAAUCAUCGAAUCUUUGAACGCACAUUGCGCCCAUUAGUAUUCUAGUGGGCAUGCCUGUUCGAGCGUCAUUUCAACCCUUAAGCCUAGCUUAGUGUUGGGAGACUGCCUAAUACGCAGCUCCUCAAAACCAGUGGCGGAGUCGGUUCGUGCUCUGAGCGUAGUAAUUUUUUAUCUCGCUUCUGCAAGCCGGACUGGCAACAGCCAUAAACCGCACCCUUCGGGGGCACUUUUUAAUGGUUGACCUCGGAUCAGGUAGGAAUACCCGCUGAACUUAAGCAUAUCAUUAAAGCCGGAGGAA
This 509-nucleotide unclassified non-coding RNA is filed under the name Microdochium sp. B3. RNAcentral describes it as "sequence contains ITS1, 5.8S rRNA gene, ITS2". The stretch from base 126 to 279 matches the Rfam family "5.8S ribosomal RNA". Lineage: Eukaryota; Fungi; Ascomycota; Sordariomycetes; Xylariales; Microdochiaceae. The record is from RNAcentral.